UUCAGAGGAGGCUCUUCUGAGGCUGCUGCCAGUGGUCAAAGCCUCCAACAAAGCUCUGCUGUCUGGCUGUAACCUCUCAGAGAGAAGCUGUGAAGCUCUGCGCUCAGUUCUCAUCUCAAAGUUUCUUAGUAUGGGAGAACUGGACCUGAGUAACAAUGCCCUGCAAGACUCGGGAGUGAAGCUGUUGUCUGCUGGAUUGAAGAGUCCAAACUGUACCCUGGAAACUAUCAAUCUGUCUGGCUGUCUGAUCACAGAGGAAGGCUGUACUUUUCUGGCCUCAGCUCUAAGC
Long non-coding RNA from Oreochromis aureus, 289 nucleotides. RefSeq lists it as uncharacterized. The record is from RefSeq and is a predicted model, not a curated record. The transcript is spliced from 3 exons. Lineage: Eukaryota; Metazoa; Chordata; Actinopteri; Cichliformes; Cichlidae.